RNAcentral lists this long non-coding RNA (226 nucleotides) under Prunus persica (peach). RNAcentral describes it as "long non-coding RNA (PPER_LNC002423)". The record is from RNAcentral. Lineage: Eukaryota; Viridiplantae; Streptophyta; Magnoliopsida; Rosales; Rosaceae.
GGACUUUCGUCGAGCAUUUGGUGUGCACACUAGGGGUCGUUCAUGGAGUCCACAGCCAAAUUUUCAGCAUUCCAAAGGGUCGUGCGACCCCUCUUGUCCCAAUGUGAGUCCGCCCUUGCUUGGACCUCUUCUUUUUUAACACCUUAUUUAUUUAUUUAUUGAGAGGAGCUACUAAACUCACACACACUACACGAAUACUAGGACUCGAACCCAAAAUCUUUUCUAG